This 301-nucleotide ribosomal RNA is filed under the name Methylobacterium phyllostachyos. RNAcentral's name for it is "bacterial LSU rRNA". It matches the Rfam family "Bacterial large subunit ribosomal RNA", at positions 2614 to 2925 of the family's 2925-position model. Lineage: Bacteria; Pseudomonadati; Pseudomonadota; Alphaproteobacteria; Hyphomicrobiales; Methylobacteriaceae. The record is from RNAcentral.
GAACGUCGUGAGACAGUUCGGUCCCUAUCUGCCGUGGGUGUAGGAGGUUUGAGAGGCUUUGUCCCUAGUACGAGAGGACCGGGAUGAACGUACCUCUGGUGGAGCUGUUGUCGCGCCAGCGGCAGUGCAGCAUAGCUACGUACGGACGGGAUAACCGCUGAAGGCAUCUAAGCGGGAAACCCCCCUUAAAACGAGACCUCCCUUGAGGGCCGUGGAAGACGACCACGUCGAUAGGCCGGGGGUGCAAGCGCGGCGACGCGUUGAGCCGACCGGUACUAAUCGCCCGAUUGGCUUGAUCGCU